CGUUGAAGAAGCAAGGAAGGCUUGUUAUUUGUCAUGAGCGAGCUGUCGUUUUCAAAAAACCGUUAGGGGACGAAGUUUGUGCUGCCAUUUAUUGUCAAGGCGUUCUGUGCUCAGAAAAAACAAUCGCCUCCGUUGGCGACGCUGCAGCUGUACUGGAUGAUGUCAUGGCAAUGUGUGUUUGCAAGGGAGCAAUGUCGGACAACGAAUUCAGGCAAAUGUUGCCGGUUUUGACGGUGAAGCAGCAACAUACACCAACGGACUCUACGUAUUCAGCGCCAAGUGCUCCGGGAAGGUCUUGUCCGAUGGACUUAUUUGCCCAGAGUGCAAGUCGCAUCGAAAGCUGUUGUUGACAAGAAAGUCCUGCCAGAAAGCUCAUGUGCCUAAGAAAGGAGCCCUUGCCCAGCGCCUGAAGCUUCAAAGGCAAAAACCAAGCGUUUGAAGAAUAGCGCCACUGCAUUGAAAAAUCAACUGAAA
Molecule: long non-coding RNA, 474 nt
Organism: Rhipicephalus sanguineus (brown dog tick)
Lineage: Eukaryota; Metazoa; Arthropoda; Arachnida; Ixodida; Ixodidae
Exons: 2
Source: RefSeq, a predicted model, not a curated record